AUCCAGCUUAUGAGUCCCGAACAGAACUAAACGCGCGUCGUGGAU
This 45-nucleotide non-coding RNA is filed under the name Schistosoma mansoni. The record is from RNAcentral. Lineage: Eukaryota; Metazoa; Platyhelminthes; Trematoda; Strigeidida; Schistosomatidae.